UUGUUUACUGGGGUGACAUUUUGGAAAUC
This 29-nucleotide non-coding RNA is filed under the name Mus musculus (house mouse). Lineage: Eukaryota; Metazoa; Chordata; Mammalia; Rodentia; Muridae. The record is from RNAcentral.